GAGACAGCAGUCGCCACGGUAAUACGUAGGUGGCAAGCGUGGUCCGGAAUUAUUGGGCGUAAAGGGCUCGCAGGCGGUUUCUUAAGUCUGAUGUGAAAGCCCCCGGCUCAACCGGGGAGGGUCAUUGGAAACUGGGAAACUUGAGUGCAGAAGAGGAGAGUGGAAUUCCACGUGUAGCGGUGAAAUGCGUAGAGAUGUGGAGGAACACCAGUGGCGAAGGCGACUCUCUGGUCUGUAACUGACGCUGAGGAGCGAAAGCGUGGGGAGCGAACAGGAUUAGAUACCCCCGUAGUCCCUGUCUCUUAUAC
Molecule: ribosomal RNA, 308 nt
Filed under: uncultured bacterium
Lineage: Bacteria
Description: partial 16S ribosomal RNA
Rfam family: Bacterial small subunit ribosomal RNA
Source: RNAcentral